RNAcentral lists this ribosomal RNA (726 nucleotides) under uncultured Fusobacterium sp. RNAcentral describes it as "bacterial SSU rRNA". It matches the Rfam family "Bacterial small subunit ribosomal RNA", at positions 28 to 776 of the family's 1533-position model. Lineage: Bacteria; Fusobacteriati; Fusobacteriota; Fusobacteriia; Fusobacteriales; Fusobacteriaceae. The record is from RNAcentral.
GAUGAACGCUGACAGAAUGCUUAACACAUGCAAGUCAACUUGGACUUCGGUUUGGGUGGCGGACGGGUGAGUAACGCGUAAAGAACUUGCCUCACAGAUAGGGACAACAUUUGGAAACGAAUGCUAAUACCUGAUAUUAUGAUUUUAGGGCAUCCUAGAAUUAUGAAAGCUAUAUGCGCUGUGAGAGAGCUUUGCGUCCCAUUAGCUAGUUGGAGAGGUAACGGCUCACCAAGGCGAUGAUGGGUAGCCGGCCUGAGAGGGUGAUCGGCCACAAGGGGACUGAGACACGGCCCUUACUCCUACGGGAGGCAGCAGUGGGGAAUAUUGGACAAUGGACCAAGAGUCUGAUCCAGCAAUUCUGUGUGCACGAUGAAGUUUUUCGGAAUGUAAAGUGCUUUCAGUUGGGAAGAAAAAAAUGACGGUACCAACAGAAGAAGUGACGGCUAAAUACGUGCCAGCAGCCGCGGUAAUACGUAUGUCACAAGCGUUAUCCGGAUUUACUGGGCGUAAAGCGCGUCUAGGUGGUUAUAUAAGUCUGAUGUGAAAAUGCAGGGCUCAACUCUGUAUUGCGUUGGAAACUGUGUAACUAGAGUACUGGAGAGGUAAGCGGAACUACAAGUGUAGAGGUGAAAUUCGUAGAUAUUUGUAGGAAUGCCGAUGGGGGAAGCCCAGCUUACUGGACAGAUACUGACGCUAAAGCGCGAAAAGCGUGGGUAGCAAAACAUG